This 121-nucleotide small RNA is filed under the name Marmota monax (woodchuck). Lineage: Eukaryota; Metazoa; Chordata; Mammalia; Rodentia; Sciuridae. The record is from RNAcentral.
GCUGGGUGCAGUGGCAGAUGCCUGUAAUCCCAGUGACUUGGAGGCUGAGGCAGGAAGACUGUGAGUUGUAGCCUUAGCAACUUAGCAAGACCCUAAGCAACUCAUCAAGACCCUGUCUCUA